UAAUACGUAGGUGGCAAGCGUUAUCCGGAAUUAUUGGGUGUAAAGGGUGCGUAGGCGGGGUGUAAAGUCAGGUGUGAAAUCUGAGAGCUCAACUCUCAGACUGCAUUUGAAACUUACACUCUUGAGUGAAGUAGAGGCAAGCGGAAUUCCCAGUGUAGCGGUGAAAUGCGUAGAUAUUGGGAGGAACACCAGUGGCGAAGGCGGCUUGCUGGGCUUUUACUGACGCUGAGGCACGAAAGUGUGGGGAGCAAACAGG
RNAcentral lists this ribosomal RNA (256 nucleotides) under uncultured bacterium. RNAcentral describes it as "partial 16S ribosomal RNA". It matches the Rfam family "Bacterial small subunit ribosomal RNA", at positions 521 to 776 of the family's 1533-position model. The record is from RNAcentral.